Molecule: ribosomal RNA, 389 nt
Filed under: uncultured Nitrospina sp.
Lineage: Bacteria; Pseudomonadati; Nitrospinota; Nitrospinia; Nitrospinales; Nitrospinaceae
Description: bacterial SSU rRNA
Rfam family: Bacterial small subunit ribosomal RNA
Source: RNAcentral
AACGAACGCUGGUGGCGUGCUUAACACAUGCAAGUCGAACGAGAAAGUUUCCUUCGGGAAAUUAGUAAAGUGGCGCAAGGGUGAGUAUCACGUGAAUAAUCUGCCCUCGAGAUCGGGAUAACAUGGUGAAAACUAUGCUAAUACCGGAUAAGACCACAUUUCAUAAGAAAUGCGGUAAAAGAAGUCUCAAUCUUCACUCGAGGAUGAGUUCGCGCAACAUUAGCUUGUUGGUGAGAUAAAAGCUCACCAAGGCUACGAUGUUUAGCCGGCCUGAGAGGGUGAACGGCCACACUGGAACUGAGACACGGUCCAGACUCCUACGGGAGGCAGCAGUGGGGAAUCUUGCACAAUGGGGGAAACCCUGAUGCAGCGAUGCCGCGUGAGUGAAG